AAAGGGACGUGGAUAAAAGGAGGGAUGAUAGAUAGAAGGAAGAUGAAUAAGAAAGAUAUAGGAUUCCAAUGUAUAUGGUCUAUGAAUUACAUCAUAAAAAAAGCAAUGUGAUAAAGCAUCAAUAUAAUAAAAUAAUAAUAAAAAUGAGAAUUCGAAAUCGUAACUUUCGAAACAACAAAUAAAAAUUUAAAGAAAUAAAAAAGAGCAGCCCGCGUUAAUAAAACUGAGAAAAUUGACUCGGAAAGAAGUUUUUUGGAAGCUCCAUUGCAGGAUUCAAACCU
RNAcentral lists this long non-coding RNA (281 nucleotides) under Panicum hallii. RNAcentral's name for it is "long non-coding RNA (PHAL_LNC000656)". Lineage: Eukaryota; Viridiplantae; Streptophyta; Magnoliopsida; Poales; Poaceae. The record is from RNAcentral.